Molecule: ribosomal RNA, 2922 nt
Filed under: Klebsiella pneumoniae
Lineage: Bacteria; Pseudomonadati; Pseudomonadota; Gammaproteobacteria; Enterobacterales; Enterobacteriaceae
Description: 23S ribosomal RNA
Rfam family: Bacterial large subunit ribosomal RNA
Source: RNAcentral
GGGUUGUGAGGUUAAGCGACUAAGCGUACACGGUGGAUGCCCUGGCAGUCAGAGGCGAUGAAGGACGUGCUAAUCUGCGAAAAGCGUCGGUAAGGUGAUAUGAACCGUUACAGCCGGCGAUGUCCGAAUGGGGAAACCCAGUGCAAUUCGUUGCACUAUCGUUAACUGAAUACAUAGGUUAACGAGGCGAACCGGGGGAACUGAAACAUCUAAGUACCCCGAGGAAAAGAAAUCAACCGAGAUUCCCCCAGUAGCGGCGAGCGAACGGGGAGCAGCCCAGAGUCUGAAUCAGCUUGUGUGUUAGUGGAACGGUCUGGAAAGUCCGACGGUACAGGGUGAUAGUCCCGUACACCAAAAUGCACAGGUUGUGAACUCGAAGAGUAGGGCGGGACACGUGGUAUCCUGUCUGAAUAUGGGGGGACCAUCCUCCAAGGCUAAAUACUCCUGACUGACCGAUAGUGAACCAGUACCGUGAGGGAAAGGCGAAAAGAACCCCGGCGAGGGGAGUGAAAAAGAACCUGAAACCGUGUACGUACAAGCAGUGGGAGCACCUUCGGGUGUGACUGCGUACCUUUUGUAUAAUGGGUCAGCGACUUAUAUUCUGUAGCAAGGUUAACCGUAUAGGGGAGCCGCAGGGAAACCGAGUCUUAACUGGGCGUUAAGUUGCAGGGUAUAGACCCGAAACCCGGUGAUCUAGCCAUGGGCAGGUUGAAGGUUGGGUAACACUAACUGGAGGACCGAACCGACUAAUGUUGAAAAAUUAGCGGAUGACUUGUGGCUGGGGGUGAAAGGCCAAUCAAACCGGGAGAUAGCUGGUUCUCCCCGAAAGCUAUUUAGGUAGCGCCUCGUGAAUUCAUCUUCGGGGGUAGAGCACUGUUUCGGCUAGGGGGUCAUCCCGACUUACCAACCCGAUGCAAACUACGAAUACCGAAGAAUGUUAUCACGGGAGACACACGGCGGGUGCUAACGUCCGUCGUGAAGAGGGAAACAACCCAGACCGCCAGCUAAGGUCCCAAAGUCAUGGUUAAGUGGGAAACGAUGUGGGAAGGCACAGACAGCCAGGAUGUUGGCUUAGAAGCAGCCAUCAUUUAAAGAAAGCGUAAUAGCUCACUGGUCGAGUCGGCCUGCGCGGAAGAUGUAACGGGGCUAAACCAUGCACCGAAGCUGCGGCAGCGACACUAUGUGUUGUUGGGUAGGGGAGCGUUCUGUAAGCCUGCGAAGGUGACCUGUGAGGGUUGCUGGAGGUAUCAGAAGUGCGAAUGCUGACAUAAGUAACGAUAAAGCGGGUGAAAAGCCCGCUCGCCGGAAGACCAAGGGUUCCUGUCCAACGUUAAUCGGGGCAGGGUGAGUCGACCCCUAAGGCGAGGCCGAAAGGCGUAGUCGAUGGGAAACAGGUUAAUAUUCCUGUACUUGGUGUUACUGCGAAGGGGGACGGAGAAGGCUAUGUUAGCCGGGCGACGGUUGUCCCGGUUUAAGCAUGUAGGCUGAUUGUCCAGGCAAAUCCGGAUAAUCAAGGCUGAGGUGUGAUGACGAGGCACUACGGUGCUGAAGUAACAAAUGCCCUGCUUCCAGGAAAAGCCUCUAAGCAUCAGGUAACAUUAAAUCGUACCCCAAACCGACACAGGUGGUCAGGUAGAGAAUACCAAGGCGCUUGAGAGAACUCGGGUGAAGGAACUAGGCAAAAUGGUGCCGUAACUUCGGGAGAAGGCACGCUGGUGUGUAGGUGAAGUCCCUGCGGAUGGAGCUGAGACCAGUCGAAGAUACCAGCUGGCUGCAACUGUUUAUUAAAAACACAGCACUGUGCAAACACGAAAGUGGACGUAUACGGUGUGACGCCUGCCCGGUGCCGGAAGGUUAAUUGAUGGGGUUAUCCGUAAGGAGAAGCUCUUGAUCGAAGCCCCGGUAAACGGCGGCCGUAACUAUAACGGUCCUAAGGUAGCGAAAUUCCUUGUCGGGUAAGUUCCGACCUGCACGAAUGGCGUAAUGAUGGCCAGGCUGUCUCCACCCGAGACUCAGUGAAAUUGAACUCGCUGUGAAGAUGCAGUGUACCCGCGGCAAGACGGAAAGACCCCGUGAACCUUUACUAUAGCUUGACACUGAACAUUGAGCCUUGAUGUGUAGGAUAGGUGGGAGGCUUUGAAGCGUGGACGCCAGUCUGCGUGGAGCCAACCUUGAAAUACCACCCUUUAAUGUUUGAUGUUCUAACGUUGGCCCCUUACCGGGGUUGCGGACAGUGUCUGGUGGGUAGUUUGACUGGGGCGGUCUCCUCCCAAAGCGUAACGGAGGAGCACGAAGGUUAGCUAAUCCUGGUCGGACAUCAGGAGGUUAGUGCAAUGGCAUAAGCUAGCUUGACUGCGAGCGUGACGGCGCGAGCAGGUGCGAAAGCAGGUCAUAGUGAUCCGGUGGUUCUGAAUGGAAGGGCCAUCGCUCAACGGAUAAAAGGUACUCCGGGGAUAACAGGCUGAUACCGCCCAAGAGUUCAUAUCGACGGCGGUGUUUGGCACCUCGAUGUCGGCUCAUCACAUCCUGGGGCUGAAGUAGGUCCCAAGGGUAUGGCUGUUCGCCAUUUAAAGUGGUACGCGAGCUGGGUUUAGAACGUCGUGAGACAGUUCGGUCCCUAUCUGCCGUGGGCGCUGGAGAAUUGAGGGGGGCUGCUCCUAGUACGAGAGGACCGGAGUGGACGCAUCACUGGUGUUCGGGUUGUCAUGCCAAUGGCACUGCCCGGUAGCUAAAUGCGGAAGAGAUAAGUGCUGAAAGCAUCUAAGCACGAAACUUGCCCCGAGAUGAGUUCUCCCUGAGACUUUAAGUCUCCUGAAGGAACGUUAAAGACGAUGACGUUGAUAGGCCGGGUGUGUAAGCGCAGCGAUGCGUUGAGCUAACCGGUACUAAUGAACCGUGAGGCUUAACCUUACAACGCCGAAG